UUAGCCGCACCACUCCGUUGGAUGUGGCCACGAACGACCGCAACCAUAGUCCCCACCCCUCCUCCCUAAACCUAGCCGCCAUCCUUCUCUUCCCAUGGCACAACUCAGUCGUUCCCUCGCCGGUGAUGCGGGUGGUGCUAACACGCCCAAUUCUUCGCCUUCUAAUGUCAGGAUGACGAUAGAGGACGUCUCGAAGGACUGAUUCGACCAUGGUUUUGCAUUCGCUUACCCUGAGAUCCAUGUCAGAUUCGCUCUCCGAGAUGGAUUCAGGCUACUCGGAGAUCCCUCGCAAAGCCGCUGCGGCGAGAUGGAGCAGGACGCGCGGUGGAGUGAGGGAACGACAGGGGUUCAGGUUCCAGGCUUAUUCCUCGAUCAGGUUGCUCUCUCCUUAUCCAUUGACUUGACCCGUUUUAACCAUCUUUUUUCGAUUGUUGUGCCUCCGCGCAUUCCUGCCAUCGGCAACUCAUCAUCUGUAGUUAUUGUUUUCUUAUUCAGAAGGACAUCUUCCCUUUCUACUAUAUAACCCGUGCUCUAUCUUCUAUAUUUCAAUGGAUGCUUUUCUUUUGCCUGAAUUAUGCACAAGAUGGCGGCUGGAUGAUUCGUCAAAGACGACUCGUCUCUUAUGUCCGACCACGCAUUUGUACGGAAGGGAAGUGGAGACAAGGGAAACGAUGAAAUUGAAGGUACACGCAUACUCAAGACACCACUUCAGGGAAACAAUUCGUUGCAAUAUGCCAAUGUGACUUGUUCUAAGCAUUCUACCAGCAAGAAGCAUUACGUGUUGGUAUCGCUAUUUUCUAAUAUAGAUGAGAUGCACAAAGGUGCCAAUAAAUGGAUUUCACACUGACGUAUUGGAGUUUGUAGCAGAAGAAGGCACCAUCAUCAUGCUCUACUAGGUAAUGAAAUAUUGUGAGUUGAUCAUCUGGAGCACUGGAGAUGUUUCACAGCGCACAAGAGUUAAAUAUAAUGAAGGGAUAUUAUGCUAGCAACAUGUAGACCAAGGGGCAGAAGGCUCAAUAGAGGAAUUUAUUUUAUUUCUUACUAUAUUAGAUUAAGGCGUGCACAAAUAUGUGCCAGGAAGCCUAUGGCUAACUAGUUGAUUUUAUGUUCUUUUUGUAUCAAGCUGAUGUAUGUAACUCAGAUUGUAUUUCUACAUUUUAAUUAAUA
Lolium perenne is the source of this 1167-nucleotide long non-coding RNA. RefSeq lists it as uncharacterized. The record is from RefSeq and is a predicted model, not a curated record. NCBI's taxonomy places the organism in Eukaryota, Viridiplantae, Streptophyta, Magnoliopsida, Poales, Poaceae.